AUAGCACCGACAAUUUACGCAGCGCUUUGCAUGUGUACAUUCCCAUAAGUCCCUGCUCUCAAGUAACUUACAAUCUAAGGUCUCUAUCUCAUAUACACACACAAGGG
This is a long non-coding RNA of Nanorana parkeri, 107 nucleotides long. RefSeq lists it as uncharacterized. Lineage: Eukaryota; Metazoa; Chordata; Amphibia; Anura; Dicroglossidae. The record is from RefSeq and is a predicted model, not a curated record. The transcript is spliced from 3 exons.